GCGUGAGUGAAGAAGGCCUUCGGGUUGUAAAGCUCUUUCAAUGGUGAAGAUAAUGACGGUAUCCAUAGAAGAAGCCCCGGCUAAAUUCGUGCCAGCAGCCGCGGUAAUACGAAUGGGGCAAGCGUUGUUCGGAAUCACUGGGCUUAAAGCGUGCGUAGGCGGACAGGAAAGUCAGAAGUGAAAGCCCCGGGCUCAACCCGGGAAUUGCUUUUGAAACUCCCUGUCUAGAGACCUGGAGGGGCUAAUGGAAUUCCGAGUGUAGAGGUGAAAUUCGC
Molecule: ribosomal RNA, 275 nt
Filed under: uncultured bacterium
Lineage: Bacteria
Description: partial 16S ribosomal RNA
Rfam family: Bacterial small subunit ribosomal RNA
Source: RNAcentral